CAAAAUUUGUUUAAUAAAGUUUAACAGACAAAGUUACAAAACAUUUGUAAAUAACAAACAUUUUAGAAAAUACUUAAAAAAAAUCUGAAAAAAAUAUUUAUAACAUUUUUGAAACCGACAAAAAGGUAAACAGUGAUUUACUUCAUCAAAUCUGAUAUAAUCGAAUAAAAUGCUUUAAUAGCGUUAUUGUCGCCAAGCUUAAGUACCAUUACAAACAGGUAAUGAAAGUGACCAACCAUUAUUGUUCUAAGUAAGUUUAAUAAAAUUUUGCAUUUUUUGAAAAUACUUGCGUAUUGGUAAAUAAACAAAUUAAAUGAAAUUCAAUAGAAUAAAAAAAUAAUAAAAAUACCAUUAGUAAAGAAAUUUGUUUUUCAUAAUCUUUUACAAACAUUAUAAUCUAUUGGAACUGGAAAUUGCUUUUCUUCUUCUUGCUGAGUCAAACAAUAAGAAGCGGCCCACAUUGAAUGAAAGAUAUGAAAAACUGAAGAUUAACUAAACAAUCAACUUUUAACCACAUUUUUGGUUUCAGUUUUUUUUUUUUUUUGCUAUCUUUGUAUCUUUAUUAUUGUUAUUGUUGUUAUAAAAUAAAUUUUACAGGUUUUACAGAUGAAUGUAUUUGGUUUUUGUUUAUCUUUCGAGUUAGUUGCAGUUUCGUUUUUUAUAUGUUUUUCUAACUGAAUUGUGAUGACUGCACCUGUUUUUGGUGCUGAAAAAAUAAAAAAAAAACUAGAAGGAAGAUUGAAAAAACAUAAAAUUGCUAGAAAAAUAUUAUUAUUUCUUUAGCUGUUUAAAGCCAAACUACAUUUUUGAGAAAUUUAAUUUGUUUGAUAUUUUCUUGCAUCAACUUUACUCUACAUUACAUCAAGAGGUAAAGUGAAAUUAUUUAUCUAAAAAGUAAAAUUAUCGGAAUGAAAUAGAUUUUUGUAUGAAAAAGUCUAGAAUAUAUUUGAAUGUAAAAUAACUAAAUAAUUUAAUAACAAAAUUCUUUAAAAAACUUUGUGUUUAAUCCAUAGCUUUCAAGAAAACUUCAUCAUCAUCACAUAGCUCCAGAUUAAUUUCUUUUAGGGUAUUUAAUAAUCUUAAUAACCCAAUAGUAACAAAAUUUUUUCACAAUUUUAUUUUCAAUUUCUCACUAACGCCAACGUAAAUACUAAAAUUUUCUAUUUUAUAUUCUUCUGUUUUAUUUUGAUAUUUUUCCUUUUUAUUCAUUUAAACAUACUACAAGAAAAGGCUUUUCAUAGUGGGUUUUAAAAGUAUAUUCUUUUAAAAAUUUCUUUCAUAUUUUUCAGUUUAUGUUAUAUGAAAAAUUAAGACAUGUUAUUAACUUUAGCUUGGCGCCUCUUUUUUUUCAAAAUAAAAUAUUUGUGUUCUUUUUAUUGUGAUGUUUACUUUUGCAUUUUGUUUAUGGAGGCGUUAUUUUGAUAGCGGAUUUAUUUAAACCAAUAAAAAUUUUUACAAGUAUUUUAUCUUCAAUUCUGUUUAAAAACGAUAACUUUAUUAUGCUUAUGAUAUAAUUUAUAUUAUCAUUAUAUAGAGUCUUUCCUUUUUUAAAAUUUAUACGAUAUCAUACUGAAGAACGCAAUAUGUAUUAGCCGAAGUUUUACACUAAAUAGUAACUCUUUCGGAAUGCAUUAAAAGUACUGGACCUCAGAGCAAACAAUAUUUUCCAAAACUGGAAAAAUGUUCCUGUUGCCGUCCUUGUAAAAUUAUACGAUGAUCUAAACUAGGCCUGUUUGUUGAAGUCACGAAAUAUUCAUCAUUGUUUUCUCAAAAUCCUUUAGAAAUAUGAUAGUCAUAUAUAUUUAAAUGUGAUGAAUUAAAGCACAAGUUUCUUUUAAAUAUACAAAAACUGUUCUGAAGUAUCUCCGAUUAUAACCUAUGGAUCCAUAAAAGGGUCCCUUUAGAAAAUAAAUUUAACGCUCACAUCGCUACUCUCUCUACAUAAUUCUACAAGCGUUGCAU
Molecule: long non-coding RNA, 1962 nt
Organism: Lucilia cuprina (Australian sheep blowfly)
Lineage: Eukaryota; Metazoa; Arthropoda; Insecta; Diptera; Calliphoridae
Exons: 3
Source: RefSeq, a predicted model, not a curated record